AUUGAACGCUGGCGGCAGGCUUAACACAUGCAAGUCGAGCGGGGUGAUGGUGCUUGCACUAUCACUUAGCGGCGGACGGGUGAGUAAUGCUUAGGAAUCUGCCUAUUAGUGGGGGACAACAUCUCGAAAGGGAUGCUAAUACCGCAUACGUCCUACGGGAGAAAGCAGGGGAUCACUUGUGACCUUGCGCUAAUAGAUGAGCCUAAGUCGGAUUAGCUAGUUGGUGGGGUAAAGGCCUACCAAGGCGACGAUCUGUAGCGGGUCUGAGAGGAUGAUCCGCCACACUGGGACUGAGACACGGCCCAGACUCCUACGGGAGGCAGCAGUGGGGAAUAUUGGACAAUGGGGGGAACCCUGAUCUAGCCAUGCCGCGUGUGUGAAGAAGGCCUUAUGGUUGUAAAGCACUUCAAGCGAGGAGGAGGCUCUUUUGGUUAAUACCCAAGAUGAGUGGACGUUACUCGCAGAAUAAGCACCGGCUAACUCUGUGCCAGCCGCCGCCGUAA
RNAcentral lists this ribosomal RNA (503 nucleotides) under uncultured bacterium. Its description in RNAcentral is "partial 16S ribosomal RNA". It matches the Rfam family "Bacterial small subunit ribosomal RNA", at positions 30 to 523 of the family's 1533-position model. The record is from RNAcentral.